Molecule: ribosomal RNA, 440 nt
Filed under: uncultured bacterium
Lineage: Bacteria
Description: bacterial SSU rRNA
Rfam family: Bacterial small subunit ribosomal RNA
Source: RNAcentral
UGGAGGGGAGCGGCAGACGGGAGAGUAACACGUGGGAACGUACCCUUUGGUUCGGAACAACCCAGGGAAACUUGGGCUAAUACCGGAUAAGCCCUCACGGGGAAAGAUUCAUCGCCGAAGGAUCGGCCCGCGUCUGAUUAGCUAGUUGGUGGGGUAAUGGCCCACCAAGGCGACGAUCAGUAGCUGGUCUGAGAGGAUGAUCAGCCUCACUGGGACUGAGACACGGCCCAGACUCCUACGGGAGGCAGCAGUGGGGAAUAUUGGACAAUGGGCGCAAGCCUGAUCCAGCCAUGCCGCGUGGGUGAUGAAGGCCCUAGGGUUGUAAAGCCCUUUCGGCGGGGAAGAUAAUGACGGUACCCGCAGAAGAAGCCCCGGCUAACUUCGUGCCAGCAGCCGCGGUAAUACGAAGGGGGCUAGCGUUGCUCGGAAUCACUGGGCGU